UCAUGGUUAAGUGGGAAACGAUGUGGGAAGGCCCAGACAGCCAGGAUGUUGGCUUAGAAGCAGCCAUCAUUUAAAGAAAGCGUAAUAGCUCACUGGUCGAGUCGGCCUGCGCGGAAGAUGUAACGGGGCUAAACCAUGCACCGAAGCUGCGGCAGCGACGCUGAUGCGUUGUUGGGUAGGGGAGCGUUCUGUAAGCCUGUGAAGGUGUGCUGUGAGGCAUGCUGGAGGUAUCAGAAGUGCGAAUGCUGACAUAAGUAACGAUAAAGCGGGUGAAAAGCCCGCUCGCCGGAAGACCAAGGGUUCCUGUCCAACGUUAAUCGGGGCAGGGUGAGUCGACCCCUAAGGCGAGGCCGAAAGGCGUAGUCGAUGGGAAACAGGUUAAUAUUCCUGUACUUGGUGUUACUGCGAAGGGGGGACGGAGAAGGCUAUGUUGGCCGGGCGACGGUUGUCCCGGUUUAAGCGUGUAGGCUGGUUUUCCAGGCAAAUCCGGAAAACUAAGGCUGAGGCGUGAUGACGAGGCACUACGGUGCUGAAGCAACAAAUGCCCUGCUUCCAGGAAAAGCCUCUAAGCAUCAGGUAACAUCAAAUCGUACCCCAAACCGACACAGGUGGUCAGGUAGAGAAUACCAAGGCGCUUGAGAGAACUCGGGUGAAGGAACUAGGCAAAAUGGUGCCGUAACUUCGGGAGAAGGCACGCUGAUAUGUAGGUGAAGUCCCUCGCGGAUGGAGCUGAAAUCAGUCGAAGAUACCAGCUGGCUGCAACUGUUUAUUAAAAACACAGCACUGUGCAAACACGAAAGUGGACGUAUACGGUGUGACGCCUGCCCGGUGCCGGAAGGUUAAUUGAUGGGGUCAGCGCAAGCGAAGCUCUUGAUCGAAGCCCCGGUAAACGGCGGCCGUAACUAUAACGGUCCUAAGGUAGCGAAAUUCCUUGUCGGGUAAGUUCCGACCUGCACGAAUGGCGUAAUGAUGGCCAGGCUGUCUCCACCCGAGACUCAGUGAAAUUGAACUCGCUGUGAAGAUGCAGUGUACCCGCGGCAAGACGGAAAGACCCCGUGAACCUUUACUAUAGCUUGACACUGAACAUUGAGCCUUGAUGUGUAGGAUAGGUGGGAGGCUUUGAAGUGUGGACGCCAGUCUGCAUGGAGCCGACCUUGAAAUACCACCCUUUAAUGUUUGAUGUUCUAACGUUGACCCGUAAUCCGGGUUGCGGACAGUGUCUGGUGGGUAGUUUGACUGGGGCGGUCUCCUCCUAAAGAGUAACGGAGGAGCACGAAGGUUGGCUAAUCCUGGUCGGACAUCAGGAGGUUAGUGCAAUGGCAUAAGCCAGCUUGACUGCGAGCGUGACGGCGCGAGCAGGUGCGAAAGCAGGUCAUAGUGAUCCGGUGGUUCUGAAUGGAAGGGCCAUCGCUCAACGGAUAAAAGGUACUCCGGGGAUAACAGGCUGAUACCGCCCAAGAGUUCAUAUCGACGGCGGUGUUUGGCACCUCGAUGUCGGCUCAUCACAUCCUGGGGCUGAAGUAGGUCCCAAGGGUAUGGCUGUUCGCCAUUUAAAGUGGUACGCGAGCUGGGUUUAGAACGUCGUGAGACAGUUCGGUCCCUAUCUGCCGUGGGCGCUGGAGAACUGAGGGGGGCUGCUCCUAGUACGAGAGGACCGGAGUGGACGCAUCACUGGUGUUCGGGUUGUCAUGCCAAUGGCACUGCCCGGUAGCUAAAUGCGGAAGAGAUAAGUGCUGAAAGCAUCUAAGCACGAAACUUGCCCCGAGAUGAGUUCUCCCUGACUCCUUGAGAGUCCUGAAGGAACGUUGAAG
RNAcentral lists this ribosomal RNA (1811 nucleotides) under Escherichia coli. Its description in RNAcentral is "partial 23S ribosomal RNA". It matches the Rfam family "Bacterial large subunit ribosomal RNA", at positions 1053 to 2843 of the family's 2925-position model. Lineage: Bacteria; Pseudomonadati; Pseudomonadota; Gammaproteobacteria; Enterobacterales; Enterobacteriaceae. The record is from RNAcentral.